GACCUCAAAUCAGGUAGGAUUACCCGCUGAACUUAAGCAUAUCAAUAAGCGGAGGAAAAGAAACCAACAGGGAUUGCCUUAGUAACGGCGAGUGAAGCGGCAAAAGCUCAAAUUUGAAAUCUGGCACCUUCGGUGUCCGAGUUGUAAUUUGAAGAAGGUAACUUUGGAGUUGGCUCUUGUCUAUGUUCCUUGGAACAGGACGUCACAGAGGGUGAGAAUCCCGUGCGAUGAGAUGCCCAAUUCUAUGUAAAGUGCUUUCGAAGAGUCGAGUUGUUUGGGAAUGCAGCUCUAAGUGGGUGGUAAAUUCCAUCUAAAGCUAAAUAUUGGCGAGAGACCGAUAGCGAACAAGUACAGUGAUGGAAAGAUGAAAAGAACUUUGAAAAGAGAGUGAAAAAGUACGUGAAAUUGUUGAAAGGGAAGCUCAUGCUGCCAGACUUGGCCGCGCCUCUUCGGUGGCGCGGGCAGGCCAGCAUCAGUUCGGGCGGCCUGAUAAAGACCUUUGGAAUGUAGCUCCUCGGAGUGUUAUAGCCUAGGGUGUAAUGGGGUCAGCCUGGACUGAGGAUCGCGUUCGCUAGGAUGCUGGCGUAAUGGCAGUAUGCGACCCGUCUUGUAACACGGACCAAGGAGUCUAACAUCUGUGCGAGUGUUUGGGUGUAAAACCCAUGCGCGUAAUGAAAGUGAACGGAGGUGGGAAGCGCAAGCUGCACCAUCGACCGAUCCUGAUGUCUUCGGAUGGAUUUGAGUAAGAGCAUAGCUGUUGGGACCCGAAAGAUGGUGAACUAUGCCUGAAUAGG
This 794-nucleotide ribosomal RNA is filed under the name Aureoumbra lagunensis. RNAcentral's name for it is "partial Eukaryotic large subunit ribosomal RNA". It matches the Rfam family "Eukaryotic large subunit ribosomal RNA", at positions 1 to 845 of the family's 3401-position model. The record is from RNAcentral. Lineage: Eukaryota; Pelagophyceae; Sarcinochrysidales; Sarcinochrysidaceae.